This 440-nucleotide ribosomal RNA is filed under the name uncultured bacterium. RNAcentral describes it as "partial 16S ribosomal RNA". It matches the Rfam family "Bacterial small subunit ribosomal RNA", at positions 338 to 795 of the family's 1533-position model. The record is from RNAcentral.
CCUACGGGUGGCAGCAGUGGGGAAUAUUGCACAAUGGGGGAAACCCUGAUGCAGCGACGCCGCGUGAGUGAAGACGUAUCUCGGUACGUAAAGCUCUAUCAGCAGGGAAGAAAAUGACGGUACCUGACUAAGAAGCCCCGGCUAACUACGUGCCAGCAGCCGCGGUAAUACGUAGGGGGCAAGCGUUAUCCGGAUUUACUGGGUGUAAAGGGAGCGUAGACGGCAGCACAAGUCUGUAGUGAAAUCCCGGGGCUUAACCCCGGAACUGCUUUGGAAACUGUGUGGCUGGAGUGCAGGAGGGGUAGGCGGAAUUCCUAGUGUAGCGGUGAAAUGCGUAGAGAUUAGGAGGAACACCGAUUGCGAAGGCGGCUUACUAGACUGUAACUGACGUUGAGGCUCGAAAGCGUGGGGAGCAAACAGGAUUAGAUACCCUAGUAGUC